AGAAUACAGACUCGAGGAAAUGAAUAAAAAACUCACAUACACACCAUUGAAAGGGACAGAAUAGGGAACUUCUCCAUUUUUUCCUUUCUUUAGAGAACAAUAUCACGCACACCCAGCCAGAUAGUUCCCUUUUUCUUCAUCAUAAUCACACAAUUUCCACACACUAAAAACACACACUGAAAUCUCGAUCUACACGGGCAACAACAAACAGAGAGAGACGAUGGCUGAUUCUUGUUUUCUCAAUUAACAGUAAAUACACUAUCACACACUCACGCACGUACACAGUGGAAAGCGAGAGAGAUUUGAAGGAGAUCGAGAGAGGGGAAUAGAGAUGAGAGAGCUAAUCGAAGAUUGAGGGAGAGUGAAGAGAAAAAUUCAGAGAGGGUGAACUAGGGAGAGAACAACUAGGGAGGUUUGAACGGAGAGAGUGAAAAAGGGUGUUGGUCCAUUUUUCCAGCAAAAUCUUUGCUGGAAUUGACCCGUGGUUACUAGUUCGGCCCCAAACCUGUUGGGAAAAUGCCAAAACAACAUCGUUCUUUUCCGUUCUAGAUUUGGUGGAAAAAUAGUCAAAUUUAGUUUGGAUUUUUUUUCUUGUAACAUCGAGUGGUGCGAGACUAUUUGGGGUAGCGUUUGGUCAUCGUUGAGGUUCUUCGAUCGAGGUCCGGUGCGGCUGAGGAUUUGUCUUAGCAUGGUUUUUCUGUUCUGAAUCCAGCAGCAUGUUUCUCAAUCGAAUAUGACGGUUUUAAGCCCAAUUGAGGUUUAAUUCUUCUUCCGUUUAUCUUAAAUCUAUUGAUGCUAUGAUUAUAUGAUUCGUAUGUGGUUGAUGACACAUUUUUGAUUAUGUGAUUGAACAAUUCUAUUUAUUUUGGAUCGAUUGAUCAAUUCUAUAUUAAAAUUGGUUAAUUGGUUGAGAAUGACUCAAAUUCGUUUUGGGGUAAAUGAAAUAGAGUCCGGAAUUGAGAAAUUGAUAAAAGGGUGAAUUUAGAUUAAUUUUAGUUUAUUGUUGUUUUAUUUAAUAGGAAUAAAUGUCAAGUUUGUUAACUCAACCAUAUUCUAGUCCGAAAGCUUAAUAGGCAAAAGUUUAGGUUUGGGUAGGCAAAUUUAUGAAUUGUUGAGUAAUGUGGAAUGUUUGUUGAAUAGUUCUAUUUUUCUCGCAUUCGAAAGAUGUAUUCAUUUAACCGGGGAAUGCCCCGUGGUCAUUUGUAUUUAUUCACUGAAGAAUUCCCCAAAGUAUUGUGUAUGCAAAGGAUGCUCGUGAUCAAGGCCCGAAACAUCGGGUGAAGAAUUGGAGCGUAGUUUAGGAUUAGCGUAGGUUAGAAUAGGAUUUAUAUUUUUUGCAUUUUUCUAUGUUGGACUGUAUAAUUGGAUUGGACACUAUAUUUUUGAUUAUUUUACUUUGUUUGUUUGAUUGAUUGUUUAUGUGUUUUAGUGUGGUUUAUACAUUUUAUAAUGUCAAAUUAACUGAUAUACCCCACCAAGCGACCGUGGUCGAACCAUGGAAUCGAGGGGUGCCUAACACCUUCCCCUCAGUCAACAGAAUUCCAUAGUUGGAAUCUCUGUUUGCAAAUCAGUUUUAAAAAAGCAAAUCAUUUUUGAAAAAGAAUCUCCAAAGGUGACUUGACACAUUAAAUUUAUGUCAAGUGGCGACUCUGAAUAUAAUUGUGGUUUAAAAAAGCAAAUCAUUUUCAUCUUUUGUCACUUUAAUAAUAAAAAUCUUUUUUGCACUUUAAAAUCAUAUUUUUGGUUAAAAAAAAGGUGUGACAGCCCUGGCAACUCCGUUGGGGAAUUUUCAGAACUCGAUCUUAUUUUUUGGAGUUGCUUGGUUUGGUAUUAUGAUUGUAUAGACGUUGUUUGAGUUAUUGUUUGUUUUUGUUUUAUCAUUUUUUAGUGUUUACGUGCUCUGUGUUUAUAGAAUUCCACUUAUGUGUUACUGCUUUAUAUCUGGAAUCAUUUGCAUAACUCGAGUUAAUUUUUCUGCAACAAGUUAUAUAGUACACGCUGUGUACACGACCUAUAGUUGGGUCACCUUUAUUUUAGGAGAAAGAGCUGUCGGCUAGUAUGGAGUAGGUGGAAAGUAAUCGUAACCACUAUUAACCUACGCUCCCCCGAACAACCUUGUUAAUGGACCCCAGUGUAGGUCAACCUUUAGGUCAUGCUUAUCUGCAUUAUAUUGAGGCCUAGCAGGACCCACAUGACCCUUUGUAGGAGACUUAUCUCUAAAGCAUCUCUACGUGCUAAAUGUUGCAUCUUUGAGAGUAAUAUGAUCAUUUAACAGUUUGAUUUGGGGAAAACAUGUGCUAGAAUUAAAGGAAAGUGUGUAGGCAAGAAAAAAUUUAAAAAAAAGGAAAAAAGAGAGAAGGUGAAUCAAAAAAGAGUUUCGUAGUUGUUUAGAGUUUUUAUGGCUUUUAUUUUUCAUAUCCAAAAAAUCAAAAGUUUCAUAGUUGUUUAGAGUUUUUAUGGCUUUUGUUUUCCAUAUCCAAAAAAUAAAAAAAAGGUUUUACCUUAUGCACUCAUUUGUCAAAAAAAAAAAAAAACAUCAAAAAGAUAUUCCCUUUAUCUCCUUUAGCAUAAUUUCAUAAUUCAAAAUUCCAAAAAGAUUUUUUUAGGAGAUUUUAUAAAAGAAAAUUUAAAAAAUGGUAGUAAUUGUGUCCAUUUCAUAAAAUGAAAAUACCAAAAAGAUUUUUCUUUCGAAGUUAUUGGUGUCAUUUUUAGACGAAAUGUCUAAUUAGAAAUCCCAAAAUAUUUUCUUGACGUUGUUCAUCGUCUGUCUUUAGUCGUGUCUCCUAAGUUAGGUUGAGUUGGUUGUUUAACCUUUUAUUGUCCAAUCUGGUGAACUACGCAUCCCUGAUUCUCCUCUCUCGGGAGUGAGAUACGUAGGUAGCCUAUUGUGGGUUCAGGGAUCUUAUUUAAAAAAUUUCAAAAAGAUUUUCUUCAUUCUUCAUUUAGAGUAGGUGUUCAUAUACAUUUCUAAAAGAAAACUACAAAAAGAUUUUUCUUUAAUAGUUUCAGGUUUCUUUGUCAUAUGAAAUUCAAAAUAAAAUAAAAAAAUUUCUUUGGUAAUCAUAGGUUUCAUGUUGUAUAGGAAUAUGAAAAUUCAAAAAGAUUUUGUUUCACUCUUCAUUUAGAGUAGGUGUCAUAUACAUUUUUAAAAGAAAACUACAAAAAUAUUUUCCUUUAGUAGGUUCAAAUCUCAUUUUUGUAUGAAAUUAAAAAUCGAAAACCCGAAAAGAAUUUUUCUUUGGUAAUCAUAGGUUUCAUUUUGUAUAGAGAUUUAAACCUAGAAAAUGCAAAAAAAGAUUUUCGUCAAUUCUUUUGACAUGUUAUUACUUUUUUUUCUUCUAAAGUUUCAAGAAAAAGAAAAAGAGCUUUAUUGGCCCAUUUGCGGUCAAAUGUCAUGAACUAUGCACACCUGAUUCUCCUCUUUCAGGAGUGAGAUAUGUAGGCGUCCUUUUCAGAUUCGGUGAUCUUUUCAAAAAGAAAAAAAAGAGAAAGAUUUUGAGAAAGUGUUGUACUCUAACACAUUUGUUAUCCCUUGUUCAGUUAGUUUAAGGUGGUUGGUUUGUGGCUUUCUGGCUGGUCCUCCACAUUACACCAAGUCUAAGGAAGAGUUAGUCAUGUCCAACAAGGAUAUAGAAAGUAACCUCAUGGAUCAAACAAAGAGUCAGGAAAAUGAGAGUUUAAAGGAAGAGAAUUUGAGACUAAGACAGGAAAUGAUGGAAAUGUAUCGAGCUUGGGCCAGUGGGCUGCCUCCUCCUCCAUUACCCACUAUUGACCCUGCAAAUAUCUUAAGUUUUCUAUCAUAAUUGCAAAGUCAGUUUCCUAUUGUUGUUGACGCACCACAAUAUGCCUUCAAAUUCAUUCCUCGUCAGCUUCAUCCCAAUACUUCCACCACUCCUUCUCUAGCUCCUCAGUAUAAGCCUACUAUAUUCACAACACCACAUACCAUCUGUGAUUUUGCUGCUCAACCCUCUACUGAGGCCUCCACAUUGGCUAUCUGCCCAAUGGUUAUAGUUUCCCAGGCCGCUAGAGAAACCAUGUUCAAUACUCUUGAUGAUCAUUUCUAUACUCUUGAACCUACUUUUAAGUUAACUGGACCACCAAAAUUUCUUACCAAGAAGUUUGACAUGGCAGAAGAGCGAAUGGUUGAAAAAAUGAAUGGUACAAAAAAUGCUAUGAAAAGUUCCCUAGGACUCUCGGGUAAAGAAGAUGUUUCUUGUAAAGACUAGGGCAUGUUUUAAAGUGUCAACCUUCUUCAAAGCUUUGAGAAAUCAAAAUUUGUCUGUGGAACAUUUGGGACAAUACUGCAAUCAAUCAAGUGAAAUUGAAGGAAAGAAGAAGGAAAACACACCUAUUGUCAUGCCAGGUCCAAAACAGAGUUUGAGAGGUCCAACCCACCAGUACUAUCAGCCUCAGUGCCGAGCUUACAUAUUAUAUCCACAUAACCACUUGCAACAAAGUUCCUUUCUCUAAAAUCCAAGAAAUCCCAUUCCACUCCCUCAAUAAACUUUGAACAAUGCAUAGUCGUAUGCUCAUCCGUCUUCCUAUCCAUAAUGGCGUGUCCCGGUCCCUCAACUUCGUCCUUGACCUCCAAAAAUUUACCAAGGAACCUCUAAAUCCAAGUUUCAUACAAGGCCAUAGUUUCCAAUGAGGAGGAAGACAAAGGAUAAUUUCACGCCAAUUGGGGAGUCCUAUACCAGUUUGUUCCAGACAUUGAGACAAGGGGGCAUGAUUACUCCUAUCCCUGGGUAUACUUCCGAUCCACAUUAAAUUUUUUUUAUCCUAAUGUAUGAUGUGCUUAUCAUUCUAAUAUGCAAGGUCACAGUACUGAAGAUUGUCGUAUUUUGAAAAGAGAAAUAGAGAAAAUAAUUCAAGAAAAAAUGAUUGUGGUGCAAAACAUUGGCACCUCAACCGUCCCACAGAGUUUUUCGCCAGUACGUGGUACUGCACAAUAUAUGGGAAGCAAUGAGUUAAUCAUGAGGAUCCUAAUACAAGAAUCAACUACUAAAAACGAAAGUAACAUUAAGAACCUAAAAAUCAGUAACAAUAAAAAAGGAAAACAACACAUAGAAGAAAAGAGAUUAAGUAGAAAUGCAUGAAAAUGAAAAGGAUAGGUAGUGAGACCCUUACUAUCACCAAUGAUUAGCACAAGAAUGCGUAUCAAACAUUCAAACACACCUCACCAAUGGUAGUUCAAGCCUCACUCUUAGGUGAACCAAAGGAAUUCACAUUCCCCAAUCAUACCUUUCUUGCCAAUUGAUCAACACAAGCGAAAUCCAUCUAAUGUAUUAAUCCCUAGUUUCGAUGUCUUUUUCAAGACCUACACUAAGAUGGAUUUUCCAAGCCAUACACUAAGGAAAUAAAAUACAAUUUGAGUUUUAACCAAUCCAUUAUAAUAAAAAAAGAAGCUAAAAUGUCUAUUUAUACUUAUUACAACACAAUGACUAAAAUGCCCUUAAUAAGGGAUUCAAGAAAGGCUCCUCUUGAGUGUAUUUUAUAGUGUAAAAAGUCUACCAUGCCCUUAAUGUGAGGCGCCUAUGAUGUGUAAGAUCCAUCCUCCUUUCUUCACUUGGACAAGGCUUUGAAAAGGCUCCAAAAGGUUUUUAAUCACUUGCACCAUCUGAGACUUGAACCUCCUACAAGCCCUUGUACUCUUUGAGCUCUUUAUACUUGUAUCAUUCUCUCCAUCUUGAAAGAAAUUUGUCCUUAAAUUCACACCUUGCAAAAAUCAAUGAGAGGAACAAAAAGCACACAAUCCUUAUGAUAGGAGGGUUGGCAUUUGUACCAUAAUUAUAUGAACACACCAAGGGGGUAUACUCUUGGAAUAUAACCAAUAAUCAUUUGCUAUGAUCAUAAAACACUUAGUACAAGUAUUACAAAGGACAUGGCUAAGAUAGAUAUAAAAAAGAGAGGAGUGCAACCUGAAAUCACCAUCACAUAUAUCAACAAGCCAAGGUUGUUCACAUUUGAAAUACAUCCAAAAAUACUUUGUAUGUGACAUGAAAAACAUAGUAUGAAUGGAACAAAGGAGGUGGUUUUGGACAAUAUCAAGAGAUAAGGAAACUACAAUGGUAUUAAUGGCUUUACUUUCCCAAAAGGUAAGACUGCCUUUGGCUAAGGAACUAUAAGAUACAUUUGUUUCAUUACCUCUACAAAGAACUUCAUCAAAUAUGGUUCCACUAUUGAUCCUAACGUCCACCUUACCCACAUAUCAUUAUCAUUCAACAAGGAAUCUAACCACCAAACCUACUACCUCUAUACAUUACUUCAAAAUUAACAUGGUUAUCAUCAUAGGUAAAGAGGUAGUAUAGGAAGGAAUCAAGUAUGAAGACUUCACGCCGAGGGGGUGCACUUUUAAAAUACAACCAACAAUCCCUUGUUUUGACAAUGAAACAUUUAGUAUGAGCAUUACAAAGGAUAGGGAUAUGAUGAAUAUCAAGGAGGAAUGAGCACAAAUAGAGACAGUUCCUUUCCCACCCCACUAGUGCACCGAGAUCAAAUGGAUAAAGUAGACAAGGGCAUAAGCUGAGGAUACUCAUUCCUUUUAGUAGAAUAUCAAGCCCACAAUCACCAAGGCAUUACUCACAACUUUGACAAACACAUGGUCACUAUGAACAAGACUAAAAUUAUGGAUUUCAUCACACAAGUUCAAAGGACCAUAUCCAUUAUCUAGAUCAACAUUACAAACAUCAAUACUAACUUGAAAAUUUUCAAUCAUACUAUUCACAUGUUCAAGUAGUGGACUACAUUCGUGAGUAAGUUGAUCAUCAUUCACAACCUCACUAGUUGUUGGCAACCAUAUACCAAUAUAGACUCACCUUGUUUUUCACAAGGGUCAACUAGUGUGUGAAUACUCCUAUCACUUGGUAAUGUAACCUUAUUCAAGUUUUAAGUGAUAGCACUAGGUGGAAACAAAUCAUUCUUACAAAAAAAUGAUUUUGUCAUCUAAAAGAUCAACUAGUGCUUGCGUACUCACAAUAAGAGCUUGGUUCUUAUGCAACCUAAAAACACCAAGAGUAUCACAAAAGGAAGAUUCAUACACUUCUUCACUAAGAAAAUCCAAAACUACACUACUUUGGCCACUACUAGCCACAUCACAAUAAUUUAAGUUUCUAGGAGUGUAGAAAAUAGCUUUGUUACCUUGUAGAUCAUGGGAAGUGUGUUCUUCACUUGGUUUUGCAUUAUGGAAGCCUUCAUGCUCAGCAUUAUAAGUGAAUAUGUCAAGGUUUUCCUUUGGACUCACUUCUUCAUCACUUAUCCCAAAAUUGAAACUUUCGGCUAAAGGCUUGAAGAGAACUUCCUUGGGCUUCUCCUUGGGGCUUCUAGGGUCUUAAACUUGCACAUAAGAAGAGAAAAUACUAGGCAAAAUGCUAGUAUUUGGGUUAGUUAGUAAUAAGGAUUCUUUGUGGACAAGAUACACAAUCAAACAUUUCUUUCCCUCUCCAACUUCACUACCCGCGGUUUCUCUUUCCCUUUUUCCCUAUUUUCUUCACAUUCCUCUUGUAUCCCACUACUAAGUUUCUCUCCAUCUUGAGGCUUGACCUCAUUCUCCUUGGAUUCUAACUUGUGGAGAGGAGGCAUUGGAUUUGGUUGAUGAUGGGUUUAGAUUUGUGGCAUGGGGUUUUAUAGUAUGUAAGGUUUUUGGUCAAGUGGAUUUGGGACUUGGUGGUUUGAAUUUUGUGGAGGUUUUGGUGGACAUAGUCUAUCAGCCCCCACUUUAAUAAUAAUCAUGUCACCUCUCAUGGAUCCAAAAUCACCUCAUGGAUCCUACAUCACCCUUCAUGGAUCUCAAGUCACCUUUUAUAAGGUCCAAAAUCACCCUUCAAGUCUUGGUUUAGUGCAUCCAACCGAGCCAUCAAGACUCCCAAAACAUCAUUUCCCAAAGGUUGAGAUGUGGUACCUUUGGAUUCCAUUACAAUUUUACCUAACAAGAAGCAAAAAACAACAAAGGAAAAACCUACAAAACGAACAAACACGUUAGUUCAAUAAACGUCACCACACUCGCACUCGGAUCUCAUAUCACACUUGGUCUCACAAGUGUUGAAAACUUGGUAAUACUUGGCAAGUGAAUGAGUGGUGAAUAUGAUUUGGCCCGGAAUCAAUUUUUGUUUGAUAUGACUAAAAAAAAUAAUGUACGGACUUGAACCAACAAACUAUUACGAAUUAAACAUGAGAACAACACAUAAAAAUUGAAGACAUGAAAUAAACUAACUCUAGACUAAUUAUCAGCCUAGUAGGAAGUUACUAGUUUGCUAAUUAGUGGUAGAGUCAACUCAAAAACAACUAGAAACAACAAAUAGAAACUUAGGAAUCUAGUUAAGAACUCAAUUUGGUCGUUUAUAUAAGUGAUGAUGUGGCAGCUUGGAAUUAGGCUUCACUUUUCAAAAUUUUUAACUUCUAAAUUUUUGUUUUCGGCCAAACACUCCUUUAGGGAAGAAGAAUUUCGGUUUUAGAGGGAAAAAUGAAGAUUUGAAGCCUUUUUUAGAGCUUCAAAUGAAUUCAAAAUGGAUUGGUCCCCUCAAGAGUACUUUCAAUUGUACUUGCUUGUCCCCCUUUCCUUUCUGGAAGACUUAUAAUAUGCUAGGGAAUAUUCUUGUACAAACACUUAUUACAGUUUCUUUCUUCUUCCUUUUUGGAUCAAACAAGCUACUUGAAUAUUCUUCUUCAAUAAGAUUUGAAGAUGGUGGAUGAACAAUGUGAAUAUUAAAGAGUUGACCAUGGUUUGACCACUAGGCAAAUAAACCCCAAAUUCAAAUUUUCUUUUAGAUCUAGGUUCCUUUAGCAAAGAUAAGUUCAAAUAUCAAAAAAUCAGCCACAACACACCACAAACAAGGUGUUCACCACGAGAUCCCCCCUCAAAAAGCUUCAAACAAGUUACAACAAUGGUGGAUCUAGCUAAAAAGCAACCAAAUCUUGUUCUAAACUUAGAUCUAGACCCUUUAAGUGCUAGAGAACAAGAAUCUAACACUAGAAACUAUCAAAAAAAGCUAAAAAUUAGUAGAUCUAAGUUGAAAAAUUUGGAUCUACUAUCAAACACAUAAGAUUCAACACUUUUUUUGUAUUUUUUUUUGACUCUAGACUCUUUUUUUGUUGAGAUUUUCUUAGAUUCAAGGCUUAGAGUUGUGGGAACAACUCUAAUACAUGGAUUUGAUACCAAAUGAUACAAGAAUCAACUACUAAAAAUGAAAUUAACCUUAAGAACCUAAAAAUCAAAAACUAUAAAAAAGGAAAACAACACAUAGAAGAAAGGAGAUGAAGUAAAAAUGCAUGAAAAUAAAAAGAAUAGGUAAUGAGAACCUUAAUAUCACCAAUGAUUAGCACAAGAAUGUGUAUCUAAUAUUCAAACGCACCUCACCAAUGAUAGUUCUAACCUCACUCUUAGGUGGACCAAAGGAAUUUACACUCCUCAAUCACACCUUUCUUACCAAUUGAUCAACACAAGUGAAAUCCAUCAAAUGUCUUUAUCCCUAGUUUCAAUGUCUUUUCCAAGAUCUACACUAAGAUGUCUUUUCCAAGCCCUACACUAAGGAAAGAAAAUAUACUUUGAGUUUUACUCAAUCCAUUCAUCAAAGUCUAAUGAAAAGGGAAGCUAAAAUAUCUAUUUAUACUUAUUACAAGGGCUUCAAGAAAGGCUCCUCUUGAGUGUUAUUUUAUAGUGUAAAAAUUCCAUCAUGCCCUUAAUGUGAGGUGCCUAUGGUGUGUAAGAUCCCUCCUCCUUUCUACACUUGGACAAGGCUUUGAAAAGGCUCCUAAAGGCCUUCAAUCACUUGAACCAUCUGAGACUUGAACCUUCUACAAGCUCUAGUACUCUUUGUGCACUUUAUGCUUGUAUCAGAUCUAGAACUUAUUUAUUGAAGGGAAUUUAUCUGAUCGUGGUGGAAGUUGUUGUCAUGCUAUGGAAACCAGUGGCUAAGUUGUUAGUAUGAGCAAUUGAGAAGUCACCCCCCUCUCUACUAGAAAGAGGUCUGGUAGUGUGUUUUGUUUUCUUUUUUAUUUUUUGAAUCAUUCCAGGUUUGUUGUUUGGGAUCUAUCUUAUUUUGUCCCUUUGUCGUUUAUGUUCAAACCCUUCUAUCUUUUAUCUCAACUAAAUGAAGUAUCCCUUUCCUUUUGUGUUUUAUAUAUGUGUUGUUUAUUUUCUUUACAUAGUACAUUUUAUGUUGAUUCUAUAGAUAUGACAUGCUAGCGGAAUUUUUAGUCAAAUCUUAAAAUCCAGUUUAAGGACGAACUUUUAAUCAGAGGGCUAAAGUCAGAAAAAACAUUUGAGAAAAUUGGUAGGGUGUUGAAUAAUUUGGUGACAAGUUGAAGCUUUUUUUUUUCAAAAUUAAGGUAAUUAUUUUGAGAAUGAAAAGAAUAACUUGGUCAUCAAUUGAAAAGUAUAGCUCAAUCAGGUCAAAUAGUAGAUGUGUGAUCCCUAUAUCAAGAGGAGAAGAAAGAUAAUUAGCUCCAUGAAAGCAUAGAUAAUUUGAUGUGAGGUAUGUACAACAAACAUAGAGUUCUAUGUUUGACAAGUGUAGAAGAAAAGUGGCACAUAUGCUCAGUUAAAGUUAAUGCUAUAAAAGAUAUCACAAAUGAACUUCAUCUUUCACUUUCAUUUUGUAUGAUGUGUACUUGCAUUUUUAAGGAUUGAUAUGACGAAGAUAUUUCAUUCUGCUAUCCAAACAUUGUGUCAUCCUUUGCUUACCCCAUUUGAUUUUUAGUCCUAUUUUCCUUUAUACCCCUCUUUUGGAAUCAAGAUAGAGUCAGCAAGGUUCAAAAGAGAAGGUGGUGAGCAAAACAAUAGGGUCAGAAAGGUUUCAAAAAGAAAAAAAGAGAUAAAAAUGUAUCCAAAAAGAAAGGAAAAAAAGAGUGUCAAGAAAAAAGAGUUAGAAAAAAGUUUCAAAAAGAGUCCAUAAAAAAAGAAAAAAUAAAAAAACAGAGUCAAGCAAAGGAAUAAGUUGUCAGAACUAUGGGUGACCUAAUUCACCUCUCUCGGAGGUGAGAUACGUAGGCUGCCCUACUCUGGGCUCGGUCCAAACAAAUAAAUAAUUUAGAAUUAUCCAGUCAAAAGAAACUAGGGCAUGAGUUAAUCCUCAUUUUUUGAGUCAAUUCCAAAAGUUGUAAGUACUACCACACUUCAAGUGUCGUUUGAGCCGCAUGACAUCCUUUCUUUGUAACUCUAUCCAAAAGUCAAGUUACAACCAAUGAAAGACCUUCAGAUCAAUCUUUGAGAAUAUUAAGGCUAAGCAUGCAGUGGAUAUGAUGAUGCAUUUUGGGUACUAUUUGUCUUCCUCAGUAUAAAGAAUCAAGAGAGAAAUAAAAAUGAGAAAGUCUUAUUGGUGAAAACCCUCAUGGGCAUCGUAAGUCGAGAGAGAAUGAAAUAAGAGUCUUAUUGGUGAAAACCCUCACAGGAAUUGUAAGGUGAUGGUAAGUUGAGAGAAAUAAAAAUGAGAGAGUCUUAUUGGUGAAGAUCCUCACUGGCAUCAUAAGACGAUGGUGAACUGAGAGAAAAGUGAGAGAGGCUUGUUGGCGAAAACCCUUCAAAGUGUCACUAGCUGAAUGAGGUCUUAAAUGCAAUUGACCUAAGGAAGCAACUCAGUUUCAAGGCCAUUAACUUAAUCCAAAUGCAUGGCAUAAUCGUUAGAGUUGACUGUCAUUUUUAGAUAAAUUUUUUUAUUUCUUCGUUUAAAAUAGGACAUUUAUUUUCUUUUCUUUCUUCUCUUUAUUUUUAUUUUAUUUUCUUGAGUCAGUUAUCCAAAUAAAAAAAUCAUUGUCAUUUUUCCUCUUGUCUUUGAGUCAAGUCCAUGUCAAAACAAGUGAAAAAAGAUUUCAAAAUUGGCUACCAGCUUCUUCAAUUAUACAAAGCAAUACAGAAAGGCCAGAACAUGAAAUAGACAUGAUUGUGAUUCGAAGUAAGGCAAGCAAAAAGUUUUGUCAACAGACAAGUCUGGGAACUCAUAAAAAUACCAAGGUUCAAAGGGUUUAUCUGAGGAGCAUGGCAAAGAAAAGAUACUGUGGUUGUUUCAGAGUCACUCUUAAUAAUAUGAGUUUGGGUCAAUGAUGCAGCAGGUCAGUGACAUAUGCUAAUGGUUGGAAGAAAGGUUAAAUGUGAUGAGAGCAAGAGCGAUUUGCCAUGAAAGUUAAAUCCACAAACCAACCACUAUAUUUUUAUACUCACAAGUUUUCUUUGUAUGAAAUAGAGACACAAGUUGUCUUCAAAUGAAGGAUUUCAAUGCCUAAACAUCAAAGGCCGUAAUAUUCUCACUUCUACAAAUACAAGAGGCAAUGUUUCUGCACAGGUUUCGUAAUAAAAACCAUGGUAAAACUCAUAAUUCAAUAUCCCUAGUAGACAUACUUACUUGUCCAGGAGACGCAUUUCCUUAGGUAAUUCAAGUGAUAUUUGUAAGGAGACACAUUUUCUUGUAUGAGUAAUUUAAAUGAAAUUUGUAAGGAUAUAUAUUUCCUUGUGAAAUUCAAGUGGCAUUUGUAAGGAGACACAUUUUCUUGUCUGGAUAGUUUAAGUGGUAUUUGCAAAGAGAUGCGUUUCCUUGUAUGAGUAAUUCAAGCAACAUUAAUAAGGAGACACACUUUCUUGUUUUGGGUAAUUUAAGUGACAUUUGUAAGGAAACGCACUUUCUUGUUUGGGUAAUUCAAGAAACAUUUGUAAGGAGACGCAUUUCCUUAUUUUGGGUAAUUCAAGUGAAUAUUUGUAAGGAGACACACUUCCUUGUUUGGGUUAUUCAAGUGACAUUUGUAAGGAGACGCACUUCCUUGUUUGGAUAAUUCAAGCGGCAUUUAUAAGGAGACACACUUCCUUUUUUGGGAAAUUCAAGAGGCAUUUGUAAGGAGACACAAUUUAUUGUUUGGAUAAUUCAAGAAUUAUUUGCAAGGAGACACACUUCCUUAUUUGGGAAAUUCAAGUGACAUUUGUGAGGAGACACAGUUCCUUGUUUGGGUAAUUCAAGCGUUAUUUGUGAGGAGAUGCACUUCCUUGUUUGGAUAAUUCAAGCGGUAUUGGUAAGGAGAAACACUUCCUAUUUUGGUAAUUCAAGCGGCAUUAGUAAGGAGAAGCACUUCCUUGAUUGGAUAAUUUGAAUUUUACUUGUUAGUUGAUGCACUUCCUAACUUAAUUAUUGAUUCCUAGAAGAUGUACUUCCUAGUUGAGUCAGUCCCCUUGAUUCCUAGAAGAUGUACUUCCUGGUCGAGUCAAUCCCCUUGAUUCCUAGAAGAUGUACUUUUUGGUCAAGUCAUCCACCUUGAUUCAUAGAAGAUGAAAUUCCUGGUCGAGUCAGUCCCCUUUAUUCCUAGAAGAUGUACUUCCUGUUUAAGUCAUUUCCCUUGAUUCCUAGAAGAUGUACUUCCUAGUCGAGUCAGUCCCUUUGAUUUAUAGAAAAUGCACUUUCUAGUUGAGUCAUUGCACUUAACCCUUAGGAUACACACUUCCGUGUUAGUUUUCAUUUGUCAGGUGACACACUUUUUUAACUUAAACUUUUAUCUCUAGAAGACUCACUUUCUAGUCAGAAUUCCUAACUUUAAUUCUUAGGAGAUGCACUUCCUAAUCUUGGUCAUUUAAUUUUAAUCUCAAGAGAUGCAUUUCUUGGUCAGAGUCUUGAUUUAUGAUUGCAACAUACAAGUAGUUAUGAUGUGACUUUACAAAAGUCCUCUGACGAUAAUCUGGGGCAAAAAUAAUUUUAAUUCUUAUUGUUCGGAACUUUUCUUUUCUGGCAAAUGGAAUCUCUCUUUAUAAUAAUAUUUGUAUGGAAUAAUUUUUUUUAAGUUUUGAUGUGAUUUCAGGAGCCCGCCUGAAGAACAGGAAAAUAAAUGAAAAGUCAACCAACAAGGUGAAGAAGUUGAAAGUCAACAGAUUAAAAAAUAGCAAGUCAGGAGCCCACCUAGAGAAUAGGGUGAAGAAAUUGAAAGUCAAAAUUUAAAAAUAGAAAGUCAGGAGUCCGUCUGGAGAAUAAGGUGAAGAAAUUGACAGCCAAGCAACAAGUUGAAGAAAUUGCAAGUCAGGAGCUCGCCUGGAGAACAGGUGAUGAAAUUGUAUGUCGGAAGCCCGCCCGGAGAACAAGGUGAUGAAACUUAAGUCAAGAGUCCAGAGAAGCUUCAUAGAUAAGACUUUUGUAAUUUUAUUUAUCUUUUAACUUGUAAUUUUUAUUUUUGAUGUUACGACAGAUCCGCGGACCGGAACCUCUAUAGGACCACACUGGACUCUCCAAUUCGAUCGUUCUUCUUUCUUUUAUAUCUUUCUUCGAAUAAUGGUCGGAUCAAAAUUUGGUAUCGUUGUCUACUUUUUUGUCUAAAAAUAAUGUGUUUACACCCAAAAAGGGACAUGAUGUAGACACCUAAUUUUGUCACUCCCGAAGUUCAAUUUUAUUCAUUUUUGCCUCACCCUAUCAUACACUCCCACCUAUGUGAUUAUACCCCACAAAAAUACAAAAAAAUAACAAAAAAUUCAAUAAAUCCAUAACAAAUUAAAUCCCUAAUAUUUCCUUAUCCUAACAAACUUUAUCUCAACCAACUCAUACCUUUACCACUACCCCACAUCACCACCCCUACCCCUAACCUUACCCCUACCCUUAACCCCCUCUCCCCAUAUUUAUCUUCCAUGUAGAAUAGAGAGAUAUAUAAACAGGGAGAGAAUAUAUAAUCAAGGAAAUAAAUAAAAAACCCACAUACACACCAUUGAAGGGGACACAACAGGGGAACUUCUCCAUUUUUUUCCAUUCUUUAGAGAAUGAUAUAACGCACACACUGCCAAAUAAUUUCCCUUUUCUACAUCAUAAUCACACAAUUUCCAUGCACUAAAAAUAUACAAUGAAAUUCUGAUCUGCACGGACAGAAACAAACAGAGAGAGACGAUGGUUGAUUUUUUUUCUCUAUUAACAGUAAAUACACCAUCAUACACUUAUGCACGCACAUAGUGAAAAGCGAGAGAUAUUUAAAGAAGAUUAAGAGAAGGGGAUAGAGAUGAGAGAGUUGAUCAGAGAUUGAGAAAGAGUGAAGAGAAAAAUCUAGAAAGGGUUAACGAGGGAGAAAACAACCAAAGAGGUUUGAACGAAGAGAGUGAAAAAGGGUGUUGGUCUAUUUUUUUAAAGAAAUCAUUGCCAGAAUUGACUCAUAGUUAAUGUUCCAACAACAAACCUUCUGGAAAAAUUCCAAAAUAACAUUGUUCUUCCCCGUUCCAGAUUCAGUGGAAAAAUAGUCAAAUUUAGUUUGGAUUUUUUUUCUUGCAACGUCGAGUGGUGCGAGAUUGUUUGGGGUUGUAUUUGGUCGUCGUUGAGGUUUUUCGAUCGAGGUAUAGUGUGGUUGGGGAUUUGUAUUAUCAUGGUUUUCUAUUCUGAAUCCAGCAAUAUGUGUCUCAAUCGAAUAUGAUGGUUUGAAGAACAAUUGAGGUUAAAUUCUUCUUCUAAUUCUAUUCUUCUUUCGUUUAUCUUAAAUCUAUUGAUGCUAUGAUUAUGUAAUUCGUACGUGGUUGAUGACACAUUUUUUAUUAUGUGAUUGAACAAUUCUAUUUGUUUUGGAUUUAUUGAUUAAUUCGAUAUUAAAAUUGGUUAAUUGGUUGAGAAUGACUCGAAUUCGUUUUGGGUAAAUAAAAUGGAGGCGAGAAUUGAGAAAUUGACAAAAGGGUGAAUUUAGAUUAAUUUUGGUUUAUUAUUGUUUUGUUUAAUUAGAAUAAAUGUCAAGUUUGUGAACUUGAUUGGAUCAUAUUCUAGGUCGAUAGCUUAAUAGGAAAAAGUUUAGGUUCGGGUAGGCAAAUUUAUGGAUUGUUGAGUAAUGUAGAAUGUUUGUUGAAUGGUUCUCUUUUUCUCGCAUUUGAAAGAUGUAUUCAUUUAGUUGCAGAAUGCCCUAUGGUUAUUUGUAUUUAUUCACUGGAAAAUGUCCUGAAGUAUUGUGUAUGCAAAGGAUGCUUGUGAUCAAGGCCCGGGGCAUCGGGUAAAGAAUUGUAGCAUAGUUUAGGAUUACCGUAGGUUAGAAUAAAAUUUAUAUUUGUAUUAUUAUAUGUUAGAUUGUAUAUGUAACGCCUCAAGAAUACACCCUAUGCAUCACACGGUGCUUACAGUCCCGAGGGACCGUAAGCUAACCCAUGAGCUGGUACCUGCUGUGAGCAAUGGAUAACAUGAUCAUAAAUGCAGAAGAAUAAUGACAUGCCAUAAGGUUUUAAUAACUAAAUUCAAAACUGAAAUAUGAGUUUAUAAAAAUAACUGACUGAAUCUGAUAAAAUAAUGAUAACCUAGAUAACUAACUGUAAUGUCUGAAUACUGAAUACUGACUCUAAUGUCUAAUAAGCCUCUAAAACUGAAUGACUGUGAGGUGAUCGGACAGGUCCCAAUUAACUCCAACUAAGUAGUAACUGAGACAUGAAAUAAAGUAAGCCUGUCCUCAAAGUAUGAGGACUCACCACUGCUACUGCUGAGGAUCUGAUAAGUCUAAUCGCGAGCCGAAAAUUGAGUGUCAGAACCUAUGAUAUAAUACAUCAUAGCACAAAAGAAAAGGUAUGCGAUCAGUACUUUGAAUGUACUUGUAUGAUAAAUAAGGUGUACUGAUAUGCAUGAUUUCAUGAACAAAACUAAUAAUUAACUGAAUAUAUAUGUAAAGCAUGGAGUAUUGAAUAAAGAGCAUGAAAUUUGUAGGUACUGGGAAUAUGUGGAAAUAUUUAAAUACUGAGUAUGCAUGAAUAUCUGUAAAUACUGAGGAUGCAUGACCAAGCAUAUAACAUGAACAGAGUAACAUUUGUAAACUAAAAUACUGAAAUAACUAAAAUCUGUAUGCUUUGGUCAAACAACACUAAGACUGAAUAACAUAACUGGGACUAUAACUGAGACUGUAUCUGAGACUGUGGGAGGUAUCAUUUAACCGACAUUCCCCAAUUUGAGCUAAUCGGGGUCCAAUCUAUAACCCUAAUUGGAAGGGUAAUCAUAUCGUGCCACGAGUACUAACGAUGGGUAUGUGGAUGUACUAAACUUAUUUAAUGUCCAAAGGACUAAGGGUGUUAACCCUGAACUAAAGGGUGACCUCUGCGAGAUAGUCAAGCCUAAUCUGAUAGGUGACUUCUCAUAUCCUACGCUGAUUACGUAGUUCUAGAGUAUAGGGACUGCUACUAAUGACUCUGCCUAUCUGACGGGGAAGCCACCAUCCCUACACUCGCUCGGUGCUAAAUCCUACUCCCAACUAAAAGACACUGAAAUACUAGACUGUUCUGAGUUUAUAUAACUGGUAACUGACUGUUCUGAUAAUGCUCAUAGUAUGUUUUGAAGACUUUUCUGUAAUGUACUGAUACUAGACUAAGUAAACAACUAUAGAUUUCAGGUAUUCAAUACCCCAGGACUCAAAAACAAUAAUAGUAAAAUGAUACUAAAGCUUGAAGGACAAAACAUGAAGGCUUUUAUUUAAAUCAAUCACUCUUGUAGGCAUUUUAUCAAACACUUGUAGUUCAGGGUUUAAAACAAUCAUAGGAAUGCCAUAGAACUUAUAAAAAUAGCAUGAAUUCAACAUAAUAGUACUAAAUUAUGGUUUUAUUCAAUAAAUAAUAAUAUAAAAACAUGGAGGAUUGAAUGAUAUUUUCGAUUGAGAAAGCGGCAGGCCCAAUGAGUUCUCCUAUAGUGCCUCGAAAUAGCAAUUUCAUGGUAACAUGGUAUAAAAUCAAUAGUACGUGAAGGUUCAUGGGCGAAAUUAUAAUUUAAAAUCAAAUAGCUUGUAAAGAUUAUGACUUGUAAAUUAAAAUAGGAUAUUUGGACUUUAUGGAUGAAAUGAAUCCAGGGAUAAACAUCUAACAUACCUGGGAUAGUGAAUUUCUUGAAGUUCUGGGUGAGUUCCUGAGGAUUGAUCUAGAAUUUGAGAGCUAGGGUUUUUUGUUAUUGGAAAAGGGGAUCAUUAAUUUGAGAGAAAGUUGAAUAAAGAAUGAUUAUCUAGGUCAAUUGAGGCUAAAUUUUGUGUUUUAGGACGAGUUUAGGACUUAGGUAAAAGGACCCAAAUACCCUUAUAUGGAUUUAAAACGUAAGCUGAAAACUGACCAUCCCAAUUUUUAGCCUUGGCGCGAUGUGCGACUAUCGUGCCAAGCCACUAGAAAUGUGCAAUUAGGACCUGAACAAACAUCAUGACAUGGAUCAAUCGCAGUAAGCCUUUGGAAUGCCAAUUUGGCUACCUCUGCGAUGCACCAACAUCACAGAGGCCUACUGGAAAUUGCCAAAUUAGAAAUUGGCCUGCUCCGCGAUACGCCAACAUCGCAGAGUAUCACUGGAAAUUGACAAUUGUUAUUUGGACUUUCUUCGUGAUGCGCUAAGGGUAAAAAUGAUGAGGCCUAACAACUGAAACUUAAAAUCACCAUAACUUCUUAUCCGGUUAUCGAAUUUGGGCAAAUUUUAUAUCGUUGGAAAGCUAAUUGAAUUUCCUACGCAAUGACAGGCUCUAAACUGAAAAAUAAUGAGUGUUCCAAAAAUUUUAUAUGCAAAUACUCAUGUAUUAAGACUUAGAUUAUGCUAGGGAAAUACAGGGUGUUACAAUAUCUCCCCCUUGGGAUCAUUCGUCCUCAAAAAAACUAGUUAAGCUAAGGAAAACUGCUGGACUUAGCUUAUACAUUGAACAUACAUAUAUGAUGCAUGGAUUACAUGACUGAACUGAUUUGUAAAUAUACGGCUGACGUGAACAUGAUGUGCAACUAAAACUGAGCACGAUAGAGAGAAAUCUUAAGAAGAUUAGUACCUUAUACUGAAUAUGGUUUCGCGGAGAAAAGAUAAGGGUACUUGGUCCAUAUAUCUGCCUCUGAUUCCUAAGAUGCCCCCUCAAUGGACUGAUUCUGCCAAAGAAGUCUAACUAGUGAAACUUCUUUGUUCCUUAGCCUAUGAAUUUGAUGAUUAAGAAUUUCGACUGGAACUUCCUCAAAGGAAAGGCUGUUCGAAAUAUCUAAACUUUCUAAGGGAAUAACAACAGCUGGAUCACCAAUACACUUUCUCAAUAAUAAGAGAUAGAACACUGGAUGUACUGAGGCUAGAUCUGAUGGUAACUUAAGCUCGUAAGCUACCUUUCUGAAAAGACUGAGAAUUUUGAAGCUACCGACAUAUUAAGGACUGAGUUUCCUUUUCUUGAUGAAUCUCUUCACUCCUUUCUUGUGAGAUAUUUUUAAGUAUAUGAAAUCACCGACCUCAAACUCGAGAUCCUUAUCUUCACAUAUGCUUACGAUGUCUGUCGCCUCUAGGAAACCCUAAGCCUUUCUCUGAUCAACUGAACCUUCUUUAACACAUCAAACACUAAGUCAGGGCCUACUACUGCAGCCUCACCUACUUCAAACCAACCAAUUGGAGAUCUAUAUCUCCUACCAUAGAGAGCCUCAAAUUGAGCCAUACGAAUACUGAAAUGAUAGUUGUUAUUGUAUGCAAACUCAAUUAAAGAAAAGUGGUCAUCCCAACUAUCUUUAAAAUCAACUGCGCAUGCUCUCAGCAUAUCCUCAAGAGUCUGAAUGAUCCUUUUUGCUUGAUAGUCUGUCUGAGGGUGAAAGGUUGUACUGCGAUGGAUUUAGGUACCAAGACCCUUUUUGGAAUGCUUUCCAGAAAUGAGAGGUAAACUGGGUACUUCUAUCUGACAUGAUAGAUAAGGGAACACCGUGCAACAUAAAUAACUCUCUGAGAUAGAGUUUGGCACAGUCCUCGAUUGAAUAAGAGGUAUGGAUUGGCAAGAAAUCAGCUGGUUUGGUCACCCUGUCUAUGAUAACCCAAAUAGAAUCAUGCUGAUGACGGGUAUGAGGUAAACCUAUCACAAAAUCUAUGUUCACUUCCUCCCACAUCCAAGUGGGAAUACUAAACUCCUGCAUGGACCCACUAGGUUUUUGGUGCUCAAUAUUUACUUGCUGGCACGUAGAUCACUUAGCCAUAAACUUCUUAAUAUCUCUCUUUAUCCCACUCCACCAAUAGAUCUCUUACAAAUCACGAUACAUCUUAGUAACCCCUAGAUGAAUAGAGUAACGUGCACCAUGCGCUUCUGCAAUAAUUCAUUGCCUCAAGUUAUCUAUACCAGGCACAUAUAGCCAACCCUGACAACGCAACACACCAUCUCCCCCUUGGGAGGAAACCUCCACCUUCUUAUCUCUGAUUGAUUCUUUUAACAUAACCUGACUGGGAUCUCUAUCCUGCUUUUUUUUCACCUCGGAAACUAGAGAUGAUUCUGAGCUACUCUGUACCCACACACUACCUUCUGCUAAGUCGUCUAAGUGGAUACCUAGCCGGGAAAGCUAAAGGACUUCCUGAGCUAACUGCUUCUUACCAUCCUUAACAUGAGCUACACUACCCAUGGACAAUCUACUGAGAGCAUCAGCCACUAUAUUGGCCUUGCCCGGAUAAUACAAAACACUCAUGUCAUUAUCCUUUAAUAAUUCUAACCACCUUCUCUGACAUAAUUCAAAUCUUUCUGAGAGAACACAUAUUGAAGGCUUUUGUGAUCUGUGAACACAUCCAUAUGUACCCUAUACAAGUAAUGCCUCUAUAUCUUUAAGGCGAAUACUACUACUGCUAACUCAAGAUCAUGAGUUGGAUAAUUCUUGUCAUGGGGUCUAAGUUGUUUAGAAGCAUAGGCUAUAACCUUACCUCUCUGCAUGAGGACACAACCCAAACUUACUCUGGAUGCAUUACAAUACAUAACAAACCCAUCUAAACUAUAUGGUAGAGUCAAGACUGGGGCUGAGGUGAGUCGAGUCUUCAACUCCUGAAAACUCCUCGCAGGAAUCUUACCACUGAAACUUAACUUUCUUCUGAGUCAAUCUGGACAUGGGGGAUGUAAUAAAUGAAAAUCCUUCAAUACACCAAUGAUAAUAGCCAGCUAAAACUAUGAAACUCCUAAUGUCUGAUGGAGAUAUGGGUCUAGGCCAGUCUCUCACCACUUUAGGCUUUUGAGGAUCAACUCUAAUGUCAUCACCGAAAAUAAUUUGACCAAGGAAAGCAACUGAUCUUAGCCAGAAUUCACACUUACUGAAUUUAAUGAAUAACUAGUGAGCUCUAAGAGUUUGCAACACUAUUCUAAGAUGGUCUGCAUGAUUAGUUUCUCUAUGGGAAUAAAUAAGGAUGUCAUCAAUAAAGACUAUGAUGAACAUAUCUAAGUGCUUCUUAAACACUCGGUUCAUCAAGUCCAUGAAGGCUGCUGGGGCAUUCGUGAGACAAAAGGACAUGACUAGAUAUUUGAAGUGACCAUACCGAGUUUGGAAAGCUAUUUUCGGAAUGUCACAUUCCCUAACCUUAAGCUGAUGAUAGCCUGAUCUGAGGUUUAUCUUUGAAAACUAACUGGCACCCUGAAGUUGAUCAAACAAGUCAUCGAUUCUAGGAAGUGGAUAUUUAUUCUUGACUGUGACUUUGUUCAACUGACGGUUGUCUAUGCAUAUUCUGAGAGAACCAUCUUUCUUAUGCAUGAAUAGAAUAGGUGCAUCCCAUAGGGAGAUGCUGGGUCUGAUGAAUCCCUUAUCUAAGAGAUCCUUCAACUAUUCUUUCAAUUCUUUGAGUUUGGCUGGAGCUAUUCUGUAUGGCAAAAUAGAUAUCGACUGAGUAUAUGGAAAAAGGUCUAUUUUGAAUUCGAUUUCCCUUUCGGGAGAAACUCCAGGGAGAUCCUCAGGGAAUACAUCUAAAAUUUAUUUACUACUGGAACUGACACAAUAGUUAAAGUUUCUGAGUUAGAGUUUUUGACUCGCCUAAGAUAGUAAAUACACCCCUUCGAUAUCAUCAAUAUCGCUUUGAGGUACGAAAUUAAAUGACCCCUAAGAGCUGUAGUUCUACCUCUCCAUUCAAGGAUUGGUUCAUUUAGGAAAUAAAAAUGAACUAUUCUAUUUCUACAAUCAACUGAGGCAUAGCAUGAGUGGAGCUAAUCCAUGAUGAGAAUGACGUCAAAAUCUUUCAUCUCUAACUCUACGAGAUCAACUGAGAUAACUUUCUGAGAUAUUAUGACCGGACAGCUCCUGUAUACCUAUCGGGCUAUAAUGGAAAUGCCUACUGGGGUAGACACUGAAAAGGGCUCUACUAGAGUUUUAGGACUGACUCUAAAGUUGACGGCUAUACAUAGAGUUACAAAAGAAAGAGAAGCUCUAGGGACUAGUAAAGCAUAAACAUGUAAGUGAAAGACCUACAACGUACUAGUAACUACAUCAGAAGAAUUUUCCUGAUCUUGGUAGGACUGAAGAGCAUAUAAUCUGUUCGGACGCUGACCACUAGUAGCACUGGAAGUGGCACCCUGCUGAGUUGGGCGACCGGAUGAAACUGAUGACUGAUGGGACUGGCCUUGUUAGCGUACAUCCCUACCUUUUUGAGCAACUACCCGACACUCCUAAAUUUGAUAGACUGGCUUUCCAUACCCAAAUCACACUUCACUACCCACUCUACACUCACCUUGAUAGUAUCUUCCAUAUUUCUAUCAUAGGAGAUUUGUACGAGCACUGCUAACACUGUCCUGGGACUUAGAGCCUAGUGCUCUAUCCCUAUUGUCAUUUAUGAAUUUGGGUAUUGAGGCACUGGCUGAAGAUGGUGCUGGGGCUGAAGACCUUUGCUGAAAUGAGGCAGUUACCACCCUCUGACUUUGGCUGACUAAAGUUAAAACUACCCAUCCUAGCCCUCUUAUUUCCUCUCUCCCUUCUUAAUCUUCUACUACUUUAUCUAUUGAGCAUGGACCAUCAGCCUAGACAUGACCAUCUCACUAAUUAGCAUUGCGGUCCUGCACUCCUUGACUACACUGUCAGAUACACCAAAUAUAAACUUACCCAUCUUGGACCUGUUAUCAGAUACCACAUGGGGAGCAUAUCUAGCUAAUUGAGUGCACUUGAGGGAAUACUCUCUCACGCUCAUGCUGCCCUGCCUCAAGUUAAUAAACUCUAACACCUUGGCCUCCCUUAACUCCAAUGGGAAGAAACUAUCUAUGAAUGCUGUGGAAAACUCUUCCCAUUCUACACGCCCUGCAUCUACACCCCUAUCAACCUUCCACUACUUAAAAUAAGUAUGGGAUACAUCCUGCAACUAGUAUGUAUCCAACUUAGCACUCUGACUAGAUGUCACCCCCAAAGCAUCCCUGACCUUCUAAACCAUGUCUAAGAAUUCUUGUGGAUCCCCUUCAGACUUAAACGUUGUGAAUGAAGGAGGGUUCAUCCGGGUAAAGUCCAAAAUUAUUUUUACAGCAGUAUUGGCCUAUAGGUUGGAUGGAAAAACAGCUGGCCAUUCAUUCUAUACUGCUAUAGAGUUUGAUAGAGUGGUAAAUGCAACUUUAAAUUCUGCAUGAGAGACAUGCUCGUCUAGAGGAUAUGCUUAGAUGGGCUAAGGGGCUGGCUGGUUUCCUAUUCUUUUUUCAUUCUUCUUGGGAGGCAUGUUCUGUAAACAAAAGGAAGAAAUGGAUUAUACAGGGAGUUUAACUUGAGCUUAUGCUCACUUGCAUGACAUGAAUACUGAAAGAAGGGAAACUUUUCCUAAAUGCCUCAUAGCCUCUCGCCGAUAAGUGAGGUGUGCUACACACCCAUACACAAGACUCUACAUGACAUGAAUUUCAGACUUCCUUGGAAACUUUAAAACCUUAGGAUCUGAUACCAAGUUUGUAACACCCCUAAAGUAUACCCUGGGAGACAGACGGUAUUUACAGUCCCGAGGGACCGCAAACUAGCCUAUGAGCUGGUACCUGAUGUGAGCACUGGAUAACAUGAUCAUAAAAGCGGAAGAAUACUAACACACCAUAAGGUUUUAAUAACUAAAUUCAAACUAAAAUACGAGUCUACAGAAAUAACAGACUGAAUCUGAUAAAAUAAUGAUAAACUGGAUAACUAACUAUAAUGUCUGAAUACUAAAAAACAGACUCUAAUGUCUGAUAAGCCUAUAAAACCGAAUGAUUGUGAGUUGAUAGGACAGGCCCCAACUAACUCAAACUAACUAUUAUAUGAGACAUGAAAUAAAUUAAGCCCGUCCUCAAAGUAUGAGAACUCACCAUAACUAAUGAUGAGGAUCUAAUAAGUCUAAUUGCGAGCCGGGAACUAAGCAUCAAAGUGUAUGAGGUUUAUCUUAAAUUGGGGUUGCAUUUGGUUAUCAUUGAGGUUCUUCGAUCGAGGUCUAGUACGGUUGGGGAUUUGUAUUAUCAUUGUUUUUUGUUCUGAAUCCAACAAUAUAUUUCUCAAUCGAAUAUGAUGGUUUGAAGAACAAUUGAGGUUAAAUUCUUCUUCUAAUUCUAUUAUUCUUUUGUUUAUCUUAAAUCUAUUGAUGCUAUGAUUAU
RNAcentral lists this long non-coding RNA (24186 nucleotides) under Capsicum annuum. RNAcentral's name for it is "long non-coding RNA (CANN_LNC018965)". The record is from RNAcentral. Lineage: Eukaryota; Viridiplantae; Streptophyta; Magnoliopsida; Solanales; Solanaceae.